RNAcentral lists this ribosomal RNA (253 nucleotides) under uncultured bacterium. RNAcentral's name for it is "partial 16S ribosomal RNA". It matches the Rfam family "Bacterial small subunit ribosomal RNA", at positions 524 to 776 of the family's 1533-position model. The record is from RNAcentral.
UACGUAGGGUGCAAGCGUUGUCCGGAAUUAUUGGGCGUAAAGAGUUCGUAGGCGGUUUGUCGCGUCGAAUGUGAAAACCCGGGGCUCAACCCCGGGCCUGCAUUCGAUACGGGCAGACUAGAGUUCGGUAGGGGAGUCUGGAAUUCCUGGUGUAGCGGUGAAAUGCGCAGAUAUCAGGAGGAACACCGGUGGCGAAGGCGGGACUCUGGGCCGAUACUGACGCUGAGGAGCGAAAGCGUGGGGAGCAAACAGG